AGGAACGCGAAGAACCUUACCUACCCUUGACAUGCCACUAACGAAGCAGAGAUGCAUCAGGUGCCCGAAAGGGAAAGUGGACACAGGUGCUGCAUGGCUGUCGUCAGCUCGUGUCGUGAGAUGUUGGGUUAAGUCCCGCAACGAGCGCAACCCUUGUCUUUAGUUGCUACGAAAGGGCACUCUAGAGAGACUGCCGGUGACAAACCGGAGGAAGGUGGGGAUGACGUCAAGUCCUCAUGGCCCUUAUGGGUAGGGCUUCACACGUCAUACAAUGGUGCGAACAGAGGGAAGCGAAUUCCCGAGGCGGACCGAAUCCUUGAAAACCCAUCUUAUUCCGGAUUCUAUUCCGCACCUCACCUACUUGAAAGUUGGAACCCCUAGAAAACCCGGAUUCACCUGGCCCGGUGAAAAUAAUUUCCCCGGGUCUUG
Molecule: ribosomal RNA, 429 nt
Filed under: uncultured bacterium
Lineage: Bacteria
Description: bacterial SSU rRNA
Rfam family: Bacterial small subunit ribosomal RNA
Source: RNAcentral